GACGAACGCUGGCGGCGUGCUUAACACAUGCAAGUCGUACGGUAAGGCCCUUUCGGGGGUACACGAGUGGCGAACGGGUGAGUAACACGUGAGUAACCUGCCCACAACUUUGGGAUAACGCUAGGAAACUGGUGCUAAUACUGGAUAUGUGCUCCUGCUGCAUGGUGGGGGUUGGAAAGCUCCGGCGGUUGUGGAUGGACUCGCGGCCUAUCAGCUUGUUGGUGGGGUAGUGGCCUGCCAAGGCGGCGACGGGUAGCCUGCCUGAGAGGGUGACCGGCCACAUUGGGACUGAGAUACGGCCCAGACUCCUACGGGAGGCAGCAGUGGGGAAUAUUGCACAAUGGGCGCAAGCCUGAUGCAGCAACGCCGCGUGCGGGAUGACGGCCUUCGGGUUGUAAACCGCUUUCAGCAGGGACGAAGCUUUUUGUGACGGUACCUGCAGAAGAAGCACCGGCUAACUACGUG
This 465-nucleotide ribosomal RNA is filed under the name uncultured bacterium. RNAcentral's name for it is "partial 16S ribosomal RNA". It matches the Rfam family "Bacterial small subunit ribosomal RNA", at positions 28 to 507 of the family's 1533-position model. The record is from RNAcentral.